CCUGAACCAGCCACGUCGCGUGAAGGAUGAAGGUCUUCGGGUUUGUAAACUUUUUUUUCAAGGGAAUAAAGUGGGGGACGUGUCCUCCUUUGCAUGUGCCUUGUCAAUAAGGAUCGCCUAGCUCCAUGCCAGGAGCCGCGGUUAUUCGGAAGAUCCGAGCGUUNUCCGGAUUUAUUGGGUUUAAAGGGUGCUCAGGCAAAAAUGUUAGCUUAACCGUUAAAUUUUGCUGCUCACUGUAAAAGUGCCUUCGAUACUGGCUUUCUUGAGUGUGGAUGAAGUAGGCGGAAUUUGUGGUGUAGCGGUGAAAUGCUUAGAUAUCACGAGGAACUCCUAUUGCGCAGGCAGCUUACUAAACCACAACUGACGCUCAUGCACGAAAGCGUGGGGAUCAAACAGGAUUAGAUACCCUGGUAGUCCACGCAGUAAACGAUGAUUACUAGUUGUUUGCGAUACAAUGUAAGCGACUGAGCGAAAGCGUUAAGUAAUCCACCUGGGGAGUACGUUCGCAAGAAUGAAACUCAAAUGAAUUGACGG
This 534-nucleotide ribosomal RNA is filed under the name uncultured Petrimonas sp. RNAcentral's name for it is "bacterial SSU rRNA". It matches the Rfam family "Bacterial small subunit ribosomal RNA", at positions 382 to 916 of the family's 1533-position model. The record is from RNAcentral. Lineage: Bacteria; Pseudomonadati; Bacteroidota; Bacteroidia; Bacteroidales; Dysgonomonadaceae.